Long non-coding RNA from Betta splendens (Siamese fighting fish), 1871 nucleotides. The record is from Ensembl. Lineage: Eukaryota; Metazoa; Chordata; Actinopteri; Anabantiformes; Osphronemidae.
UCCAAGCUCUGACGUUUCACCCUCAGCUGACAGUAAGCACUCAGCUGAGUGCUCAUCCACAAGUAAAUUCGUCAGGCACUCGGCAUCAGUAGUUUCUGAUGAAUCAAUCUUCUACAUAAGCAGCAGUGCUGAGAUUACAAAGAACGCACAAGAGUCAACCAGCAACACUAUGCAAACAGAGGAUGUUGACAUAAUUAAGGACAAAUGUUGCAUUAAGAAUGGCACAGUACGCCUGAAAAAACUGGCUUUGUCUCAACUGAAUUAUGAACAACUUAAAGAGUUCACACAACAGAAUGAGUCUCAUUGGACUUUUAAUGAGGGAUCUGCUGAUCCUAAUGCAGAGAUUGAAAAUGACCACACAUAUUACAUCAACACACCAAAACAUCUCGUGAAUGUAGGUGCAAUACAGUCUAAUGACCUAGAAACAAAAAAGGUUCCAAUGUCCACAAGAGCUCUAAAGGUGAAUUGUCUGAGUAACAAACUUGCUGUUACUAAUCAAUGUGUGCAGGUGCUUGGACCAGCUAUCUCGUUCUCAACCCCAGUGAGGGCGAGUGCACUCAACCUCUCCUCAGUUUUGGCCGACAUGACGCCAAGUUCAAACACCUGGAGCAGACUUAAAGCCGCCCUCUCUAUUCACCGCAAAGGCAUGGUGCUAUUAACGCCAAGGACUGUGGCAGCGUCCGGCUCUCCUGGAAGGGAAGCUCUAGCAGAUCUCAGCAGGGAUCUCUUCGCCCCGCCCUUCCGGACCCCGCUCCCCAAACACCUGCAGUCACAGCUGCAUAGAAACGAUUCUCUGGUAAAACACAGUAGUAUUUGCAGCUUUGCCUUGCAGUACUUUAUGUGUAUACAUAAAUGCCCUUUUUUAUUUUAGCGGCCAUGGGUGUUCUUUUGGCCUUUAUUAAGGUACAUCUUAAAUCCCAAUGAAAUGCAUGGAUGUCGUUCUUGUCUUUCUUGACAGACUGUGUGUGAGGACCUUUCGGAUGCAGAGAAAGUGUAUGCAGAGUGUGGUCAGCCACGUGCCCUUCCCUGGGAGGAGUGUAUUCUCCCUCAAAUGAAAUUUUCACAUGAAAAAGUGUGUAAAGAUAGGAGAAGGGACCUUUGGUGAAGUCUUCUCCACAACCAAUGCCUCAGGAGACACUGUUGCUCUCAAAGUAUGUGGGUUUUUUUCCACAUAAGAAUGUUGUGGAGUAGCGCUGACAUACUUUUGGUAACGGCUGGUAUUAACAGCGAUUCUUGUCGUGCCAGAUCAUUCCAGUAGAGGGCAGUGAGAAGGUGAAUGGAGAGGAUCAGAAGACAUUUGGAGAGAUCCUGCAUGAUGUAUGAUCUCAUACUUUGAGAUUAUUAUCUCAAAGUAAUUACAGAAACUGCACGCCACACUUGAAGGGAUACUAUAAAAGCCUGUCACUAACAUUCGCCCCUUGAAAAGAUUUCCACAGCAAAAACGUUAUUCCUAAUAAUUACAUUCAUGUGAUACGUGCUCAGACUUAGCUAAACAGAGCGCUGUUUUCCUAACAGGGAACUGAGCAGCCUGAAGGAGAAGCAACACAACCAGACUCACAGCUUCAUUGGACUCAAUGAGUAAGCUUUUCAGGUCAUAAGAACACUAGUUUUAACCACGGCUUAUGCAACUGUACACUUAGGAUGCAUUGAGCUGUUUGACAGUAUUUUGGCAUCAGAACAUGACCAUUGGAGGCUGUUCUGAAGGAAACCAAUGCAGAAACACUAAAACAUCAUUUUAGAGCUUUCCAGUUCAUAAGAACACUAGUUUAAACCACGGCAUAUGCAACUAUACAUUUAGGAUGCAUUGAGCUGUUUGACAGUAUUCUGGCAUCAGAGCAUGACCAUUAGAGGCUGUUCUGGUGGAAACCAUU